Molecule: ribosomal RNA, 376 nt
Filed under: uncultured Sebacinaceae
Lineage: Eukaryota; Fungi; Basidiomycota; Agaricomycetes; Sebacinales; Sebacinaceae
Description: eukaryotic LSU rRNA
Rfam family: 5.8S ribosomal RNA (bases 1-105)
Source: RNAcentral
GAAAUGCGAUAAGUAAUGUGAAUUGCAGAAUUCAGUGAAUCAUCGAAUCUUUGAACGCACCUUGCACCCUUUGGCAUUCCGAAGGGUAUGCUCGUUUGAGUGUCAUUGUACUCUCACACUCGUAAUCUUUUCGAUCGCGAGCGGUGGACUUGGGUGCUGCUGCUUACCCGCGGCUCACCUCAAAUCGAUUCGUGCACCUCUUGGUUGGACAUAGUACGGCGUGAUAAGUGUCUUCGCCGGCGCCUCAUUGCGAGGGUGGCCGAUCGGGAGCUCUGUGCUUCAAACCGUCCUCGGACAACAACUGACAACUUGACCUCAAAUCGAGUAGGACUACCCGCUGAACUUAAGCAUAUCAAUAAGCGGAGGAAAAGAAACU